RNAcentral lists this small nuclear RNA (19 nucleotides) under Arabidopsis thaliana (thale cress). RNAcentral's name for it is "snRNA_15994". Lineage: Eukaryota; Viridiplantae; Streptophyta; Magnoliopsida; Brassicales; Brassicaceae. The record is from RNAcentral.
CGAACCGGGAAGAGCCCAG